Solanum tuberosum (potato) is the source of this 230-nucleotide long non-coding RNA. RefSeq lists it as uncharacterized. The record is from RefSeq and is a predicted model, not a curated record. NCBI's taxonomy places the organism in Eukaryota, Viridiplantae, Streptophyta, Magnoliopsida, Solanales, Solanaceae. The transcript is spliced from 3 exons.
ACAUAUUUUGCUUAAUUGUCCAGAGAUUCAAUCAUAUGUCAACUUGUUCGUAAACACAUGGGGUAAUGAAGCCAUCUAUACAGAAUUUUCCAAAUGGCUGAGGAACUAUAUGUCAUCAGGCGGUGACGGUGAUAGACAUCACGAGCAUCUUGGAGUUAGCCAGACUAAACAUGCUAAGAAGAAGAAGUCUAGGAGACCGAUAGAUCCUGAGGAUAUUGCAGGAUCUAUUU